UCCAGACUCCUACGGGAGGCAGCAGUGGGGGAUAUUGCACAAUGGGCGCAACCCUGAUGCAGCGACGCCGCGUGGGCGAAGAAGUAUUUCGGUAUGUAAAGCCCUAUCAGCAGGGAAGAAGAAAUGACGGUACCUGAGUAAGAAGCACCGGCUAAAUACGUGCCAGCAGCCGCGGUAAUACGUAUGGUGCAAGCGUUAUCCGGAUUUACUGGGUGUAAAGGGAGCGCAGGCGGCACGGCAAGCCUGAUGUGAAAGCCCGCGGCCCAACCGCGGGACUGCAUUGGGAACUACCGGGCUGGAGUGCCGGAGAGGUAGGCGGAAUUCCUAGUGUAGCGGUGAAAUGCGUAGAUAUUAGGAGGAACACCAGUGGCGAAGGCGGCCUACUGGACGGUGACUGACGCUGAGGCUCGAAAGCGUGGGGAGCAAACAGGAUUAGAUACCCGAGUAAC
This 449-nucleotide ribosomal RNA is filed under the name uncultured bacterium. RNAcentral describes it as "bacterial SSU rRNA". It matches the Rfam family "Bacterial small subunit ribosomal RNA", at positions 330 to 794 of the family's 1533-position model. The record is from RNAcentral.